This 199-nucleotide long non-coding RNA is filed under the name Lathyrus oleraceus (garden pea). RNAcentral's name for it is "Pisum sativum (pea) long non-coding RNA (PSAT_LNC009945)". The record is from RNAcentral. Lineage: Eukaryota; Viridiplantae; Streptophyta; Magnoliopsida; Fabales; Fabaceae.
UGAUGUACCUUUCAGUUCCGUUUAUUUCGGAACCCUUGAGUGGGAUUUGUGGUUACAUAUUCUUUCAGAUGGUUGUGAUCGGUUCAAGAGGCUGCAACUCAGCGCAACAGAUGUUCAGAUGACUUGGAGGAUGACACAAUGCAUUUCAUUCAUUCAUCAGCAUCAUCACAUUUGGCAUUUACCUGCAUCUAACACAUGU